This 255-nucleotide ribosomal RNA is filed under the name Triticum aestivum (bread wheat). RNAcentral's name for it is "partial small subunit ribosomal RNA". The record is from RNAcentral. Lineage: Eukaryota; Viridiplantae; Streptophyta; Magnoliopsida; Poales; Poaceae.
AUGAUCAUCUUAGCCUGGAACUGCCGAGGGUUGGGGUUGGACUCGGCAGUGGGUGAACUACGGGACCUGAUUAGGUCAUACAGCCCAGCGGUGGUGUUCUUAUCAGAAACAAAGAAAAGAGUGGGAGCGAUGGCGAGGUUAAAAUGGAGUCUGGGUUUCAACAAUGGAGUUGUGGUGGACUGCAAAGGGAAGAGGGGUGGCCUUGCACUCUGGUGGAGGGAUCAUGUAGAGAUUACGGUUCGGUCGUGGUGCUAG